RNAcentral lists this small nuclear RNA (102 nucleotides) under Galendromus occidentalis (western predatory mite). The record is from RNAcentral. Lineage: Eukaryota; Metazoa; Arthropoda; Arachnida; Mesostigmata; Phytoseiidae.
GUACCUUACGGUACACAUACUAAAAUUGGAACGAUACAGAGAAGAUUAGCAUGGCCCCUGCGCAAGGAUGACACGCAAAAUCGUGAAGCGUUCCACAUUUUU